RNAcentral lists this ribosomal RNA (253 nucleotides) under uncultured bacterium. RNAcentral's name for it is "partial 16S ribosomal RNA". It matches the Rfam family "Bacterial small subunit ribosomal RNA", at positions 524 to 776 of the family's 1533-position model. The record is from RNAcentral.
UACGGAGGGGGCAAGCGUUAUUCGGAAUUAUUGGGCGUAAAGCGCGUGUAGGCGGCUUUGCAAGUCGGGUGUGAAAGCCCUCAGCUCAACUGAGGAAGUGCGCCCGAAACUGCAGAGCUUGAGUACCGGAGAGGAUGGUGGAAUUCCCCAAGUAGAGGUGAAAUUCGUAGAUAUGGGGAGGAACACCGGUGGCGAAGGCGACCAUCUGGACGGAUACUGACGCUGAGACGCGAAAGCGUGGGUAGCAAACAGG